RNAcentral lists this long non-coding RNA (1153 nucleotides) under Varroa destructor (honeybee mite). Its description in RNAcentral is "uncharacterized LOC111250226, transcript variant X5". The record is from RNAcentral. Lineage: Eukaryota; Metazoa; Arthropoda; Arachnida; Mesostigmata; Varroidae.
UUAGUGGAUUGUGACAAAGCUUUCGAUGUGUUCAUCCAGGACGGUGUUUGUCCUGGAUGUGUCCGUUUUAAAACAAUUCAAGUACAUGACUACCUUCGAGCGGGCACAUGAUGAAGUUCGUUUUUGCAAGAAAACGCUGCUUAUAGAUUCGUCCUUGGGAUCAAACCAAACCUCUUAAGAACUUAGAGACCCAUGACGACCCACGUUGACUUUGCACGAUCAGAGGUCAAUCCGGCCACAUCUUGCAAGUACUGUCGUCUCUUCCGCACUAAUCCAAUCCACAGGAACGUCUCAUCAUCGUUGGUAAGCAGGGCACGUUUGAAACCCGCUUCUGUUCAGUGAGCAGGGCCGCAUGUUCGUGGCAAGACUGAAGAAACCUUACCUUGGCAGAGCAAGCACUUAUAAUAUUCCUCCAUUCGUGUCAAGGAGACAGUAAAAAAGGAAAGCAGCGACCCACAAUAAGCAAAGGCAAUGGAACGAUAACAAACCGUGCUGCCUUCCAUUAAGGGUGCCCAAAAUCUACUCUUCUCGUAGUCGUUGAGAUUGCCGUCGAGAGUUACGACGAGCAGAUGUUGUUCUAUUUGAGGCCUGUGCGGCUAACUCGCACUAUGGCUUUGGAUUGCUAAUAACCCAAGUGGUAUAUGGCGAGUGUACCAAAAAACGGGUAAGGCCAAGCCAUCCCGAAAAGCUGUAAGGCCUUAGAAUCGAUCAAGUAGGCCAUGGUCUGCCCAACUGCCAAUGCCAUUUCCGUUAUCUUGGCGAUCUACACCGAAGAAAAAAGGUGAAUGAAGUAAACGUCAACGAUGGCUUUAUCUUUGCGACGCUAAUUAGACAAGUCGUGGCUUUAAGAAAAAAGUAUCGCUUGCUCCCGAAUUGAUCUGCCCCCCCCCGCUCUGCAGUUAAUCUACGUAUUCUGAUGCAUUUGAACUAGCUUUUCCUAUAAUUAGUCGCAGUAAAAUAGGCAUUCAAGUAAAGGUUUAGCGAUAAUGAUGUUUCGGAAGUACAAAACUUCAGGCACUAUUGGACCGAAGUAAACGGGAAUUUAUCGACUAGAGACUAUGCACAUAACUUCAACUCGCCUGCGCAUCACGGAAAGGAUCGAGAACAUAGAAUUGUUAUUGGGUAUAAAUCUAAACACUGAUAUGAUACUAUA